ACGGCUCAGUAACACGUAGCUAACCUACCCUCCGGACGGGGAUACCCCGGAAACUGGGGCUAAUACCGAUAGGUGUGGAUCCUGGAAUGGUACCAUGCCUAAACGUAAGCACAUCCAUGUUUGUGUGCACGCCCGAGGAUGGGGCUGCGGCCGAUCAGGCAGUUGGUGAGGUAACGGCUCACCAAACCUUUGACCGGUACGGGCCAUGAGAGUGGUAGCCCGGAGAUGGGCACUGAGACAAGGGCCCAGGCCCUACGGGGCGCAGCAGGCGCGAAACCUCCACAAUUCACGAAAGUGAGAUGGGGUUACCUCGAGUGCCGUCUGAAGAAGGCGGCUUUUCCAUGGUGUAACAAGCCGUGGGAAUAAGGGGGGGGCAAGGCUGGUGUCAGCCGCCGCGGUAACACCAGCCCCCCGAGUGGUGGGGAUGAUUAUUUGGCCUAAAGCGUCCGUAGCCGGCUUUGUAAAUCUCUCGUUAAAUCCAGCGUCCUAAGCGUUGGGCUGCGAGAGACACUGCAGAGCUAGAGGGUGGGAGAGGUCAGCGGUAUUCCUGGGGUAGGGGCGAAAUCCAUUGAUCCCAGGAGGACCACCAGUGGCGAAGGCUGCUGUCCAGAACACGCCUGACGGUCAGGGACGAAAGCUGGGGUAGCGAAUCGGAUUAGAUACCCGAGUAGUCCCAGCCGUAAACGAUGCAGGCUAGGUGUUGGGUCGGCCACGCGCCGCCUCAGUGCCACAGGGAAGCCAUUAAGCCUGCCGCCUGGGGAGUACGGCCGCAAGGCUGAAACUUAAAGGAAUUGGCGGGGGAGCACCACCAGGCGUGAAGCCUGCGGUUUAAUUGGAGUCAACGCCGGG
RNAcentral lists this ribosomal RNA (849 nucleotides) under uncultured archaeon. RNAcentral describes it as "bacterial SSU rRNA". It matches the Rfam family "Archaeal small subunit ribosomal RNA", at positions 85 to 922 of the family's 1478-position model. The record is from RNAcentral.